GAUGAACGCUGGCGGCGUGCCUAAUACAUGCAAGUCGAGCGAACAGACGAGGAGCUUGCUCCUCUGACGUUAGCGGCGGGCGGGUGAGUAACACGUGGAUAACCUACCUAUAAGACUGGGAUAACUUCGGAAAACCGGAGCUAAUACCGGAUAAUAUAUUGAACCGCAUGGUUCAAUAGUGAAAGACGGUUUUGCUGUCACUUAUAGAUGGAUCCGCGCCGCAUUAGCUAGUUGGUAAGGUAACGGCUUACCAAGGCAACGAUGCGUAGCCGACCUGAGAGGGUGAUCGGCCACACUGGAACUGAGACACGGUCCAGACUCCUACGGGAGGCAGCAGUAGGGAAUCUUCCGCAAUGGGCGAAAGCCUGACGGAGCAACGCCGCGUGAGUGAUGAAGGUCUUCGGAUCGUAAAACUCUGUUAUUAGGGAAGAACAAAUGUGUAAGUAACUAUGCACGUCUUGACGGUACCUAAUCAGAAAGCCACGGCUAACUACGUG
Molecule: ribosomal RNA, 497 nt
Filed under: uncultured bacterium
Lineage: Bacteria
Description: partial 16S ribosomal RNA
Rfam family: Bacterial small subunit ribosomal RNA
Source: RNAcentral